UUUUCUGAAUUUAUAGAAAAUGAUGCCUGCCCGGUGAGAAAUUUUCUUAAACGGCCGCAGUAUUUUGACUGUGCAAAGGUAGCAUAAUAAUUUGUCUUAUAAUUGAAGACUGGAAUGAAUGGCUUUAUGAGGAUAAAACUGUUUCUUUUAUAUUAAUUAGAAAUUAUUUUAAAGGUUAAAAAUCCUUUAUAGUAAAGAGGGACGAGAAGACCCUAUUAAGCUUAAAUAUAUAGUUUUUAUUUACAUAAAUUAUUAAUAAUUUACCUUAAUAACUUUUAUUUUGGUUGGGGCGACCAAGGAACUAUAUUAACUUCCUAUAAUAAAUUAUAAUAUGUUUUAAAGACCCAAAAUAUUUUGUUUGAUAAACUUAGUUACUAUAGGGAUAACAGCGUUAUUUUUUUUGAAAGUUCUUAUUAAAGAAAAAGAUUGCGACCUCGAUGUUGGUUUAAGGUAACCUCAAGGUGCAGCAGCUUUGAAGGUGAGUCUGUUCGACUUUUAAUUC
RNAcentral lists this ribosomal RNA (502 nucleotides) under Phoroniformea sp. larval OTU C4. RNAcentral's name for it is "partial 16S ribosomal RNA". It matches the Rfam family "Bacterial large subunit ribosomal RNA", at positions 1833 to 2594 of the family's 2925-position model. Lineage: Eukaryota; Metazoa; Phoronida. The record is from RNAcentral.